Molecule: ribosomal RNA, 200 nt
Filed under: uncultured prokaryote
Description: partial 16S ribosomal RNA
Rfam family: Bacterial small subunit ribosomal RNA
Source: RNAcentral
GUCAAAUCAUCAUGCCCCUUAUGUCCUGGGCUACACACGUAAUACAAUGGCGUUUUAACAAAGGGAAGCUAAGCCGCGAGGCGGAGCAAAUCCCCAAAAAGCGUCUCAGUUCGGAUUGCAGGCUGCAACCCGCCUGCAUGAAGUCGGAAUUGCUAGUAAUCGCGGAUCAGCAUGCCGCGGUGAAUACGUUCUCGGGCCUU